Molecule: ribosomal RNA, 253 nt
Filed under: uncultured bacterium
Lineage: Bacteria
Description: partial 16S ribosomal RNA
Rfam family: Bacterial small subunit ribosomal RNA
Source: RNAcentral
UACGUAGGGUGCAAGCGUUGUCCGGAAUUAUUGGGCGUAAAGAGCUCGUAGGCGGUCUGUCGCGUCGGCUGUGAAAACUUGGGGCUCAACCCCAAGCCUGCAGUCGAUACGGGCAGACUAGAGUCCGGCAGGGGAGACUGGAAUUCCUGGUGUAGCGGUGAAAUGCGCAGAUAUCAGGAGGAACACCGGUGGCGAAGGCGGGUCUCUGGGCCGUAACUGACGCUGAGGAGCGAAAGCAUGGGGAGCGAACAGG